This 575-nucleotide long non-coding RNA is filed under the name Micromonas commoda. RNAcentral's name for it is "long non-coding RNA (MCOM_LNC000451)". Lineage: Eukaryota; Viridiplantae; Chlorophyta; Mamiellophyceae; Mamiellales; Mamiellaceae. The record is from RNAcentral.
GAGGUUGCGAUGUCGCGGAGGGGCAUGCCCACCGCGAGCUUGGCUCCGAGAUCGCGGUAAAAGGGAUCCUCCGACGCGAGUUGCGCCGGGGUGACGGCGGAGAGGACCGAGCCGUCGCGGUGGAGGAUGUUCCUGAGGUCGAUGGCGUCGUCCUCCUUCUGGACCGGGAGAUCGGACGCGCGACGCGCGAAAUCCUUAAAGUCGCGACCCUUCUCCUCGAACUUGUCGACGCCCCACUUCUCUUGGGCGGCUUUGUGGCCGACGUCCCUGAGGCGGGUGCAAGGCUCCAUCUCGAGGUGCGAAGCUUCGGUGAGGGAGACGCGGAUGGUGUCGCCGAGGCCGUCGAGGAGCAGGGCGCCGAUGCCGAUGGAGGACUUCAUGCGUCCGUCCUCGCCCUCGCCAGCCUCGGUCACGCCCAGGUGAAGCGGGUAGUCCCAGCCGAGCUUGUACAUCUCGUGCGCGAGGAGUCGGUACGCCUGCACCAUCACCAGCGGGUUGGACGCCUUCAUGGAGAAGACAAAGUUGUGGUAGUCGUGCUUGCGGCAGAUGCGGGCAAACUCGAACGCGGACUCGAC